This 367-nucleotide long non-coding RNA is filed under the name Equus caballus (horse). RNAcentral's name for it is "lncRNA (ENSECAG00000040758.2)". Lineage: Eukaryota; Metazoa; Chordata; Mammalia; Perissodactyla; Equidae. The record is from RNAcentral.
UGAGAGAAUAAAAUGCAAAAGGAGAGAUUAAAGGCUCAUUGGGAUCUUUUCUGGAAUUCCUUUUGCAGUCCUCCUCAGACUAAGUCACCCAACUAUAAUUAACUCAAUUGAUCUGACAAUUCUUCACUUGUGUUCGUGUCUCUCUGUACAAAUAAUAUACAUGAAUAUAAUUUUUGUUUCUUUCUCAUUGGAUUACAGUUUAUAAAGGGCUAAAAUUGUAUCUUUUACUUCAGUAUUUCUCCAUGCUGAUGGGAGUCUUAAAAUGCUGUUUCUCGCCAUUAAGAGACAAUACUUCAAACAUUGCCAAAUGCCCUGAAAAUUACCCAUCAGACAAUGAUAAAAUGACUGAAAGCUGGAUGGAAGAAGA